This 440-nucleotide ribosomal RNA is filed under the name uncultured bacterium. RNAcentral's name for it is "partial 16S ribosomal RNA". It matches the Rfam family "Bacterial small subunit ribosomal RNA", at positions 339 to 795 of the family's 1533-position model. The record is from RNAcentral.
CUACGGGUGGCUGCAGUGAGGAAUAUUGCACAAUGGGGGGAACCCUGAUGCAGCAACGCCGCGUGGAGGAUGACGCAUUUCGGUGUGUAAACUCCUUUUAUAUGUCAAGAAAAUGACGGUAGCAUAUGAAUAAGCACCGGCUAACUCCGUGCCAGCAGGCCGCGGUAAUACGGAGGGUGCAAGCGUUACUCGGAAUCACUGGGCGUAAAGGACGCGUAGGCGGGUUGGAAAGUCGGGUGUGAAAUCCUACAGCUUAACUGUAGAACUGCACUUGAAACUUCUAAUCUAGAGUAUGGGAGGGGGAGAUGGAAUUAGUGGUGUAGGGGUAAAAUCCGUAGAUAUCACUAGGAAUACCUAAAGCGAAGGCGAUCUCCUGGAACAUUACUGACGCUAAGGCGUGAAAGCGUGGGGAGCAAACAGGAUUAGAUACCCUUGUAGUC